CCUACGGGUGGCAGCAGUGGGGAAUAUUGGACAAUGGGCGAAAGCCUGAUCCAGCCAUGCCGCGUGUGUGAAGAAGGCCUUCGGGUUGUAAAGCACUUUCAGUGGGGAAGAAAGCCUUGGGGCUAAUACCCUCGAGGAAGGACAUCACCCACAGAAGAAGCACCGGCUAACUCCGUGCCAGCAGCCGCGGUAAUACGGAGGGUGCGAGCGUUAAUCGGAAUUACUGGGCGUAAAGCGCGCGUAGGCGGUCUGAUAAGCCGGUUGGGAAAGCCCCGGGCUCAACCUGGGAACGGCAUCCGGAACUGUCAGGCUAGAGUGCAGGAGAGGAAGGUAGAAUUCCCGGUGUAGCGGUGAAAUGCGUAGAGAUCGGGAGGAAUACCAGUGGCGAAGGCGGCCUUCUGGACUGACACUGACGCUGAGGUGCGAAAGCGUGGGUAGCAAACAGGAUUAGAUACCCCUGUAGUC
RNAcentral lists this ribosomal RNA (465 nucleotides) under Vreelandella stevensii. Its description in RNAcentral is "partial 16S ribosomal RNA". It matches the Rfam family "Bacterial small subunit ribosomal RNA", at positions 338 to 795 of the family's 1533-position model. Lineage: Bacteria; Pseudomonadati; Pseudomonadota; Gammaproteobacteria; Oceanospirillales; Halomonadaceae. The record is from RNAcentral.